RNAcentral lists this transfer RNA (49 nucleotides) under Caenorhabditis elegans. RNAcentral describes it as "partial tRNA-Lys". The record is from RNAcentral. Lineage: Eukaryota; Metazoa; Nematoda; Chromadorea; Rhabditida; Rhabditidae.
AAGAUGUUAACUUAAGUUUUAAAGUGCCAAACUUUUAAUUUGGNAANGG